RNAcentral lists this ribosomal RNA (423 nucleotides) under uncultured cyanobacterium. RNAcentral describes it as "bacterial SSU rRNA". It matches the Rfam family "Bacterial small subunit ribosomal RNA", at positions 356 to 795 of the family's 1533-position model. Lineage: Bacteria; Bacillati; Cyanobacteriota. The record is from RNAcentral.
GGGGAAUUUUCCGCAAUGGGAAAACAGCCCGGAGCAGCAAUGCGUGAGGAGGGAAGAACCCUGGGGGGUAAACCUCUUUUUUCAUGGAAGAAGAAAAUGACGGUACCAGAGGAAUAAGCAUCGGCUAACUCCGUGCCAGCAGCCGCGGUAAGACGGAGGAUGCAAGCGUUAUCCGGAAUUAUUGGGCGUAAAGGGUCCGCAGGCGGUUUGUCAAGUCCCCAGUCAAAGCCCGGAGCUUAACUUCAUAACGGCGAGGGAAACUGGUAGGCUAGAGUGCGGUAGGGGCAGGAGGAAUUCCCGGUGUAGCGGUGAAAUGCGUAGAGCUCGGGAAGAACACCGGUGGCGAAAGCGCCUUACUGGACCUCAUCUGACACUCAGGUACGAAAGCUAGGGGAGCGAAAGGGAUUAGAUACCCCWGUAGUC